RNAcentral lists this transfer RNA (76 nucleotides) under Bacillota bacterium. Its description in RNAcentral is "tRNA-Ile". It matches the Rfam family "tRNA". From Rfam's summary of the family: Transfer RNA (tRNA) molecules are approximately 80 nucleotides in length. Their secondary structure includes four short double-helical elements and three loops (D, anti-codon, and T loops). Further hydrogen bonds mediate the characteristic L-shaped molecular structure. tRNAs have two regions of fundamental functional importance: the anti-codon, which is responsible for specific mRNA codon recognition, and the 3' end, to which the tRNAs corresponding amino acid is attached (by aminoacyl-tRNA synthetases). tRNAs cope with the degeneracy of the genetic code in two manners: having more than one tRNA (with a specific anti-codon) for a particular amino acid; and 'wobble' base-pairing, i.e. permitting non-standard base-pairing at the 3rd anti-codon position. Lineage: Bacteria; Bacillati; Bacillota. The record is from RNAcentral.
GGGCCCUUAGCUCAGUUGGUAGAGCUCCCGGCUCAUAACCGGUCGGUCACUGGUUCGAAUCCAGUAGGGCCCACCA